AUGCGUAUCUCUCGAGACGUGACUUUUGAUGAGUCUCGUCCUUUCUACCCACGCCCAUCUUCCUCGAUUUUUUCCGUGGAGGAUAUCUCUUUCCUCACUUUUCCUGACUCACCUAUCACCCCCGUCGCGCCUCUGCCUAUUCGUUCCACUCCCUCUGCUUCUCCACCCCUCGUCGAUUUACAGCCACCAUCUUCCCCGGUCUCCUCACCUAGCAUGUCACCGGAUUCUACACCUUCAUCUCCGGUGACUUCUUCGUCGCCACCCCCCGAUUCUACCUUGGCGAUUCCUCCUUCUAUUGUUCCCUCUUUUCCUCAGCAUUACACUCGUCGUUCACGACCUGUGGAUGCUUCCUUGGAUGAGUCGUCCUCUUCCUCUCAGCCUACUUAUGGCUUGCGUUCUCGUCCUCGUCCGCCUGUUGAUCGCUUUGGAUUUCCCACCGCUGGUGCUGCUGUUCUUGAGCCGACUUCUGACCGUCAGGCUGUUGUUCAUCCUGAAUGGCAGUUUGCGAUGGCAGAGGAGAUUGCUGCUCUUGAACGCACUGGUACCUGGGAUCUUGUUUCUCUUCCUCCCGGAGUCCGUCCCAUCACUUCUAAGUGGGUCUAUAAGGUUAAGACUCGCUCCGAUGGUUCUCUUGAGCGUCACAAAGCUCGUCUUGUGGCUCGUGGUUUUCAGCAGGAGCAUGGUUGUGAUUAUGACGAGACUUUUGCUCCUGUGGCCCAUAUGACCACUAUUCGUACACUUCUUGCCGUUGCCUCUGCACGCCACUGGUCUAUAUCUCAGCUUGAUGUUAAGAAUGCCUUUCUUAAUGGUGAGCUGCGUGAGGUGUACAUGCAGCCACCCCCUGGGUAUUCUGUUCCUGAUGGCAUGCUAUGUCGUCUUCGUCGCUCUCUCUAUGGCCUUAAGCAAGCCCCUCGCGCCUGGUUUGAGCGUUUUGCCUCUGUGGUCACUACUGCUGGUUUUUCAGCAAGUGCUCAUGAUCCAGCCUUGUUUAUUCACCUUUCUCCUCGUGGUCGGACUCUUCUUCUUCUCUAUGUUGAUGACAUGGUCAUCACUGGGGAUGACCCCGAGUAUAUUGCCUUUGUAAAGCCCCGUCUUAAUGAGCAGUUUCUUAUAUCUGAUCUUGGACCUCUUCGCUACUUUCUUGGGAUUGAAGUCUCUUCUACUUCUGAUGGCUUUUUCUUAUCCCAGGAAAAGUAUAUCCAGGAUCUUCUUGCUCGUGCUGCUCUUACUGACGAGCGCAUUGUUGAGACUCCUAUGGAGCUCAAUGUUCACCUCCGUGCUACUGAUGGUGAUCCUCUCCCUGACCCGACGCGUUAUCGUCAUCUUGUUGGCAGUCUUGUCUAUCUAGCUGUCACUCGUCCGGACAUCUCUUAUCCGGUUCAUAUUCUGAGUCAGUUUGCCUCUGCUCCCACAUCGGUUCACUAUAGUCAUCUCCUUCGUGUUCUCCAAUAUCUUCGGGGCACGAUCUCUCACCGUCUAUUCUUUCCUAGCUCCAGUUCUUUACAGCUUCAGGCCUAUUCGGAUGCUACGUGGGCUAGUGAUCCUUCUGAUCGCCGUUCACUUUCUGCUUACUGUGUUUUUCUUGGUGGUUCUCUCAUUGCCUGGAAGACGAAGAAACAGAUUGCAGUUUCCCGUUCGAGUGCUGAGGCUGAGUUGCGAGCCAUGGCUCUUUUGACGGCAGAGGUGACUUGGUUACGGUGGUUACUUCAGGAUUUUGGUGUUUCUGUCACUACACCGACUCUGCUCUUAUCUGACAGUACAGGUGCUAUUAGCAUUGCGCGCGAUCCUGUGAAGCAUGAGCUCACCAAGCAUAUUGGUGUUGAUGCUUUCUAUGUGCGCGCUGCUGUGCAGGAUCAGGUUAUUGCUCUUCAGUAUGUGCCUUCCGAGUUACAGUCGGCAGAUUUCCUGACGAAGGCCCAGACUCGAGCACAACAUGGCUUUUAUCUCUCCAAACUCAGUGUUGUUCAUCCACCAUGA
This 1977-nucleotide ribosomal RNA is filed under the name Triticum aestivum (bread wheat). RNAcentral describes it as "partial small subunit ribosomal RNA". Lineage: Eukaryota; Viridiplantae; Streptophyta; Magnoliopsida; Poales; Poaceae. The record is from RNAcentral.